AUGAGGGAGUACAAUUCUGUUUCCACAGCUAGCCCAGUCUAUAUAUACUUUUUCCUACACGAGGGACGAGUGCCUCAAAUCGGGAUCCCGAACUCAGGCCCCAGCCUCCAGCGGUCGCCGGCGCCGCCCGCACCGCGCCGGCCCCUCGCGCCUCACCUCCUCCACCUCCGAACCCCCCUGCCUGUACGCCCACCAUUCGGAACUCCGAAAUUUUCUGCUUUGCCAUUGCCACCGAAAGCCAUGCCGAUGUUGCAUCGAGUGCGGCCUCGCACGUAUGGCGGCGAGGACCGCCUUAGCGUGCUCCAUGAUGAUCUGAUCCUCCUCAUAGUAAGCAGGCUGGACACCCGAACAGUGCUUUUCAUGGCUGUCCUGGCCAGGCGAUGGGUUCGCAUCCCCCGCGAGCUGUCGGUGCUCGACUUCAGGGUGAGCGACAUACUCCCGCCGGAGUACGAACGGACCGUCGCCCUUCACCAGCGCAACUUGCCGCGUGACACCACUUUGGCCGGGACACUUGACGGUCUCAAGGCGCGAUACGAGAUUGACACAAUCAGGUCAUUCAUUCACCAACGGAAUCACGAGCUUGGAAGCAGACAAUGGCCAUGA
Molecule: ribosomal RNA, 603 nt
Filed under: Triticum aestivum (bread wheat)
Lineage: Eukaryota; Viridiplantae; Streptophyta; Magnoliopsida; Poales; Poaceae
Description: partial small subunit ribosomal RNA
Source: RNAcentral